This 468-nucleotide ribosomal RNA is filed under the name uncultured bacterium. RNAcentral's name for it is "partial 16S ribosomal RNA". It matches the Rfam family "Bacterial small subunit ribosomal RNA", at positions 28 to 507 of the family's 1533-position model. The record is from RNAcentral.
GACGAACGCUGGCGGCGUGCUUAACACAUGCAAGUCGAACGGAAAGGCCCUGCUUUUGUGGGGUGCUCGAGUGGCGAACGGGUGAGUAACACGUGAGUAACCUGCCCUUGACUUUGGGAUAACUUCAGGAAACUGGGGCUAAUACCGGAUAGGAGCUCCUGCUGCAUGGUGGGGGUUGGAAAGUUUCGGCGGUUGGGGAUGGACUCGCGGCUUAUCAGCUUGUUGGUGGGGUAGUGGCUUACCAAGGCUUUGACGGGUAGCCGGCCUGAGAGGGUGACCGGCCACCUGGGGACUGAGAUACGGACCAGACUCCUACGGGAGGCAGCAGUCGGGAAUCUUGCACAAUGGGCGGAAGCCUGAUGCAGCAACGCCGCGUGCGGGAUGACGGCCUUCGGGUUGUAAACCGCUUUCGCCUGUGACGAAGCGUGAGUGACGGUAAUGAGUAAAGAAGCACCGGCUAACUACGUG